CAGCAGCCGCGGUAAUGCGUAGGUGGCAAGCGUUGUCCGGAAUUAUUGGGCGUAAAGGGCUCGCAGGCGGUUUCUUAAGUCUGAUGUGAAAGCCCCCGGCUCAACCGGGGAGGGUCAUUGGAAACUGGGAAACUUGAGUGCAGAAGAGGAGAGUGGAAUUCCACGUGUAGCGGUGAAAUGCGUAGAGAUGUGGAGGAACACCAGUGGCGAAGGCGACUCUCUGGUCUGUAACUGACGCUGAGGAGCGAAAGCGUGGGGAGCGAACAGGAUUAGAUACCCGCGUAGUCCCUGUCUCUUAUAC
Molecule: ribosomal RNA, 301 nt
Filed under: uncultured bacterium
Lineage: Bacteria
Description: partial 16S ribosomal RNA
Rfam family: Bacterial small subunit ribosomal RNA
Source: RNAcentral